Molecule: ribosomal RNA, 253 nt
Filed under: uncultured bacterium
Lineage: Bacteria
Description: partial 16S ribosomal RNA
Rfam family: Bacterial small subunit ribosomal RNA
Source: RNAcentral
UACGAAGGGGGCUAGCGUUGUUCGGAAUUACUGGGCGUAAAGCGCACGUAGGCGGACUUAUAAGUCAGGGGUGAAAUCCCGGGGCUCAACCUCGGAACUGCCUUUGAUACUGUUAAUCUAGAGUCCGAGAGAGGUGAGUGGAAUUCCGAGUGUAGAGGUGAAAUUCGUAGAUAUUAGGAGGAACACCAGUGGCGAAGGCGGCUCACUGGCUCGAUACUGACGCUGAGGUGCGAAAGCGUGGGGAGCAAACAGG